ACUAUUUUGGCAGAUUAGUGCAAUAAAUUUAGAAUUUAUUUAUAUAGUUUUAUUAGCUAUAAAUAGUA
RNAcentral lists this transfer RNA (68 nucleotides) under Thienemanniella triangula. RNAcentral's name for it is "tRNA-Leu". Lineage: Eukaryota; Metazoa; Arthropoda; Insecta; Diptera; Chironomidae. The record is from RNAcentral.